UUAUAAUUUUAGUUAUGUUUAAUUAUAUAAACCAGAUGGCCUGUUUGUUGAUAGAAAUACGAUAAAAUAUGAAUGUAAUGCAAGAAGCAUAAUGUAGGCAUGGAACGUUUUUUUUUUGUAAAAAGCAGAGUCGAGCGAGUUGAAGAACCUUGAGAGUCGAGAGAGUCGUGAGAGGGCAUUCAGAAAGAACCGUUAAAAGUGUCAAUUGUGUUAUUAAAAGUGUUUAUUUGAUUUGUUAAUUCGUGUUGCUUGAAUGUUAUUUGCUUUGUUUAACUGUUUGUUGUUCUAUCAUCAUUACUUUUGUAGGCAAUAAUUUCACAAAUAGAAUUUUCGUCAACAACAAAGCGUGUAUUUCCUUGAUAAAACGGAAGACUGGUUCGGACGUGCGAUCUUGACGACGUUCUCCCGACAGAGUGUCGCCUGGCUUCGUGUCCUCGUUCGGGUAUCCUCCUCGGUCCAACCCUCGUCCGGAUACCCUAGCUCGGUUUACAGGCGUCGGUCAUAAACAUUGGAAUCGGCCCGUGGUCCUUAAUCUCGAGUGGUCUCUUCUACCGAAUAGCCAAGGAAGUCUUCCCACGCCUACGGGCGGCGUGGCUAACAUUUGCUUACACUUUUAUUAAAUAAACAUUAUUUAUAUUAUAUCUCUAGAAUAUCUUUUUAGAAAGAACUUUUUAUAAAGACCGAGCUGAAUCGAUCAAAAAUCAUGGAUUAAAAACCGACUGAUUCAAAAAAUGAUUUUAUUGAAGUAUUCGAUGAUAUGAAAUCUUUGAAAUUUAGGCUGACUUUGUACUCUCCGAAAAUUCUUUACUCAAAAAAAAAAAUCAUUAUUGAUAUAUUAUGGCUAUCUCUGUUUCUUAUUAACGGAGAUUUUCCAUAUCUCCAAUAAUAUAACAAAGAUAUUUAAAUCAAUACUUUAAUACUGUGGGAUACUGUGGGAAUUCUGAGAAAAGGCCCAGAACUUUCCCCAGUGCCCAAGAGACGAUCGUCACCUGUGGAGUGCCACUUGGGAUGUUGUUUAGAGUGAAGGCUAUGCCUCGAAAUAUUUGUAUAAAGUCACCCAGGCCUAGGUCUUAGAAAUAUUAAGGAUACGAAUGUGUUUGUGUGCAUGAAUGUGUGAGAAGAAUAACGAAGCUUUGAGAAGGCAUAUUCCAAAGAAAUUAGGAGAGAGACAUCAGAGAGCAGCGAGUCGCGAGAGUAUAAAGAUUAUAGAGAGUUUCGAAUUGAGAGAGAAUGCAGAGAGUGUAGCGAGUUUUAAUAUGAGAGCGAGUUUUAAUCUGAAUAUUUUUCUGUUACGGCUGCAUUAGAACUUUUGUUUUCUAUCAAAUCCCAGAAAAUUCGAAACUCGUCCGGGAUUCCCACAAUACUUAUAUUAUAACAUGUAAACAUAUUUUUCAAAAUUUAGGACUUGCGCGCCACUCAUCAACUGAAGUGUUUAUAUUCGCACAUUUGCGACGAAAGUGAUACAAUUGAAAAAAUUAUAUUCUUCAAAAGAAACGAAAACCAGUUUUAGAACAAAAUUAGAAAUUUUAUUAAUCAAAAGAAAAAAAAAAAAAGAAGAAUGAUAGAGAAGAAUUUUUUAUCCUAUUAACGCGUAUUUGUUCACAAUAAUUAUCGGUAUAAAGUUCAUACAAUAAAGUAUAUCCACAUAAAUCAGAAUUAUUAUUAUUAUUAUUAUUUCCAAUAUCUUGGAAAUAUGUUAUUUUGUGCUAUCGAUCUUGGUAUUUAAAUUUCGUUGGGCUUCAGUAUUGAGAUAACUUUAGCUUUUCUCCAGUUGUUGAUGAAGAUUUUAUGGAUUCAUAUACAAUUAUACAAAAGUCUUAAGAAAAAAAGGCAUUUCUUCCAGGCAUUAUAAGAGAUGUUUAAGCAAUCUAUUUGAUACUUUUUAGAUUUAUUUGAACUAUCUUCUGUCAGUUUUGGUCGAUCCCCGGAGAGCGUGAUGCCUGUUAAAAAGUCUCCGGACAGAAUCGGUGGAGCUGAAAGUUGAGCUAUUAUUUCUGAGCUAAUUUUUCAAGGUCUUGCAAAUCAAGGGGGGAAACUAUUAGGAACGUAGAUAUCGCAGAUGUGAAUUCUUUUUGGGAAUGAAAUAGAUAUUGCGACGGCUUCAAAGUUUGAAUUUAGAGGGAUUUCAGUAGAAUCAUAUUUGUCUGAAAUUACAAUGACCACUUCUCCGCUGGCGUUUUCAUUUGCCCGGUUUCUGACAGUUGGAUGGUACCAUAGCACCGGUUGCUACGUACUCAUCACUAUGGAUACGAGCGAAGACUGCUGGUUAGAGACACCGUGCGUGUGGCGCGUUUCUUUUUCGUCUUCGUCAGAAGUAUUGCGAGGCUCAUGGUGAGAAGCACGUGCGAAACAUAUAUUGCAUUGCACGCCGGCAACGACUGUCCCAGACGCCUGAGAUUAUCGGAGAGUUUCCACAAACCCCUAUAAAACACCCAAAUCGCCGCAUAUCCCCCAUCUCGUGUGCUUUGCGAAAGUCACUUUCCUCAACGCCCGGGCCACAAAGGAAUUGAGAGUCUUGUGAGAAGAGUAAAUUAUGCGGUGUUUCGGGAUCACGAGCCAGACUCAUCAGUGAGGCUGAAUGGCGGCGGCGACCUCUGCCCCAGAAGCCUUGAAGCAGCACACUGCUACAACUAUUGGACUAACAGUCGAAUUAUACAGAACGAGGAAUGAGGCGACUACCCAUUCUUGACCAGUACGCAAACAGCGCUGUUUAACUUGCACGAUCGCCGUUAAUCCACCAGUUACUCAUAGCUGUACCCGUCGUUGGGAUUUAUUGAUAUGGAACUUAAAUAUUAACAGCGAGACAUAAUACAAGGAUAAAUAUGUAAAUAACGCAAAAAAGAACGAAAUAUGUAAAUGAAUCCAAUAACGGAUAAAGCCAGCGGUGAAAGAAGACAGAAAUGAGAGUAGGAUUUAGGAUCUAUGCGUAAGACCUACAAUGACAACAGCAGCCAAGAUGUUCAGUAAACGUCACAAAAUAAACAGAGUAGUGAUAUACUCAAGUGAAGGCCUACGUUAUUUACAUAUUUUAAUCAAAAUUGAGUCACAACAGGACAAACGUCGGGACAAAACGAUAGCACGCUCUAAAAAUUAUUAAAUUUCCUUUUAUUAAACAAAUAGUACGGAAUUUUCUUUAUUCUUCCGUAGUGUGUAGUGUAUUUUCCAGUUUGUAUAAGUAAUAUAAAUCAAACAUUUACAAUACAUCUUGUGUUAUUAAAAAAAAUAUAUGAUUAUAUUUAUCGAGUCAAAGUAAUAGUACAUUUCGUGAAAUGCAGUAGGUAGAAACAAGAUAAUGAUGUUUAAUGAUUAAUAUGGCCUUUGCAUUUAAUAAUGGCAACAAUUCUUUGAGAUAGAGAUUUAUAUAGGUUUUAAUUAUUUUUGGUUUAUUUCUUCCUUCUUACAAUAUAUUUUUUUAAUUUAUUAAUAUUUGCGUUUUCCAUUUCAAUAUACGACACUCGACAAAUUCCUCCAAUAAUUUUCUAUAAUAUUUAAAUCCGGAGAUUUGGCUAGCCAUUCGAAAAAACGAAUUUUUUUUUUAUUUGUAUGUUUUGAUAUUGCUUUCGUGAUAUGCACGACCGGUUACCAUGUUGAAAAAUAUAAAAAAAUACUUUUUCCCAACACUUCGUGUCGUAUACGUGUUAAUUUGGUCUUCAAUCAUUUCAAUAUGUUUUUAACUAUUUAAUUUUCCUAUAAUAAAUUUUCCUACUUCCAUCUUACCGUGUUAAUCAAUACCUCCGUAAAUCAAUUAUACCGCUUCUAUGAGUCGACGAAACAAAAGUUGUUGCUCCUUUCGAAAUCAUGAUGACGUGUAGUGCAGUAGUAGAGAUUCGUCUAAAUUCAACCUUUUUUUAUCGGUAAAUCUGAUGUAAUAAUCUACACACUCCUACUAGUUUACGAGAUACGAGAAUGUGCUAUCAUUUCAUCUCCGGAUGUAGUACGACUUUAACAAUUUCUGGACAUUCAUUAUCGUAUACAGAGUACCAUAAUAUUAUAUGUCGCAACAGUCAGUAUCCUUACACUUUAUUUAAGUGGAAAUUAACGAAAAUAUCGAACUAUCGAGAUAUUUGCAAAGAAGUAGUAUUGUUAGCAGUACAGUGAAUUGAACUAUAGUCAAUUAAUUAUGUAAUGACGUGACAUUAAUUAUGUAGAACAAUUAUGCGGCCGUGACAACGUCUUAUUAUAUGGCCGUGGCAUAAUAAGAAGUUGGAUACAAUUACAUUAUCACAUAAUUCAGACCUGUUGAACUUUCUCCCCUCUGCAAGUUGUGACGCCAAUUCCCCUUCUUCAUUUUUUCGAAGGAAAAUGCACACACAACCUAACCCAAACAACGCUCAUUCGAUCGAACGUUUCCUCUACUACGUUUGGUCUGCUGUCAUAUGCCACGGCACAGUCGAUAGUACAAUCGAUGAAACUGAUACUUUUGAAACGUGGCGCACGUCAACGAAAUUGAAAUGCAGCGGUAAGGCUCAUGUGGUCUAAUUCACCAAUUCUUCUAACUCUGCUGAUUAACUCUGGAUGAUAAAACUGAUUCUUACAUUGCUCCUCAGACAGAUUCAUGAGAUUUUCGUUUUCUCUUUCAAAAAAUUUCAAGGAGAGUUAAGUUGAGGAGUGGGGAACAUGUUAAAAACAAUCAGGAACGAUGAGAACGAACUUCGGUCGAACUUAUUAUAUUUCGAUGACGAUACUUGUAAAUACUUUGUAAUUAGUCGUACUUUUAAAUUAUAAAUAUUUUAUUAAAUCAAUUCGUGUGUUCUUAGACAAACA
Long non-coding RNA from Frieseomelitta varia, 4764 nucleotides. RefSeq lists it as uncharacterized. Lineage: Eukaryota; Metazoa; Arthropoda; Insecta; Hymenoptera; Apidae. The record is from RefSeq and is a predicted model, not a curated record. The transcript is spliced from 2 exons.